This 27-nucleotide non-coding RNA is filed under the name Homo sapiens (human). Lineage: Eukaryota; Metazoa; Chordata; Mammalia; Primates; Hominidae. The record is from RNAcentral.
UCCAGAGCACGCCUACUGGGAACAUGC